RNAcentral lists this ribosomal RNA (518 nucleotides) under uncultured bacterium. RNAcentral's name for it is "bacterial SSU rRNA". It matches the Rfam family "Bacterial small subunit ribosomal RNA", at positions 28 to 536 of the family's 1533-position model. The record is from RNAcentral.
GAUGAACGCUAGCGAUAGGCCUAACACAUGCAAGUCGAGGGGCAUCACAUGAAGUAGCAAUACGGAUGGUGGCGACCGGCGCACGGGUGAGUAACACGUAUGCAACCUGCCUUCAACAAGGGGGAUAAACCCGUUGAAAGACGGACUAAUACCCUAUAACACAGGGGUCCCGCAUGGGAAUAUUUGUUAAAGGACAACCGGUUGAAGAUGGGCAUGCGUUCCAUUAGCUGGUUGGUGAGGUAACGGCUCACCAAGGCAACGAUGGAUAGGGGAACUGAGAGGUUUAUCCCCCACACUGGUACUGAGACACGGACCAGACUCCUACGGGAGGCAGCAGUGAGGAAUAUUGGUCAAUGGACGCAAGUCUGAACCAGCCACGUCGCGUGAAGGAAGACGGCCCUACGGGUUGUAAACUUCUUUUAUACGGGAAUAAAGUGCCCCACGCGUGGGGUUUUGCAAGUACCGUAUGAAUAAGGAUCGGCUAACCCGUGCCAGCAGCCGCGGUAAUUCACACUACA